UGUGAUACUUUUGCCGGGAACAGAACAGGAAUGGAGUAUUAGAACUUGUUACUUUUGCAGAGAGGGAUUCUCAAUGUUUUGAAUCUGAUUACCCUGUAAGGUAUUUACCAUCCUGAUUUUACAGAGGUGAUUCUCUUAUCUUUUUCUUUAAUUAAAAUUCUUCUUUUAAGAACCUGA
Molecule: long non-coding RNA, 177 nt
Organism: Dermochelys coriacea (leatherback sea turtle)
Lineage: Eukaryota; Metazoa; Chordata; Testudines; Dermochelyidae
Exons: 2
Source: RefSeq, a predicted model, not a curated record